AGAGUUUGAUCCUGGCUCAGAACGAACGCUGGCGGCGCGCUUAACACAUGCAAGUCGAACGAGAAGGCGUAGCAAUACGCUUGUACAGUGGCGAACGGGUGAGUAAUACGUGGGCGACCUACCCUCGAGUGGGGAAUAACCCGCCGAAAGGCGGGCUAAUGCCGCGUACGCUUCCAUCUUUAUGGAGGUGGAAGGAAAGCCGUGCCGUGGGCACGGCGCUCAAGGAUGGGCUCACGUCCUAUCAGCUUGUUGGUAGGGUAACGGCCUACCAAGGCUCCGACGGGUAGCUGGUCUGAGAGGACGAUCAGCCACACUGGCACUGCGACACGGGCCAGACUCCUACGGGAGGCAGCAGUGAGGAAUAUUGCGCAAUGGGCGAAAGCCUGACGCAGCGACGCCGCGUGGGGGAUGAAGGUCUUCGGAUUGUAAACCCCUUUCGGGAGGGAAGAUGGGACGGGCAACCGUUCGGACGGUACCUCCAGAAGCAGCCACGGCUAACUUCGUGCCAGCAGCCGCGGUAAUACGAAGGUGGCAAGCGUUGUUCGGAUUUACUGGGCGUACAGGGAGCGUAGGCGGUUAGGUAAGCCCUUCGGGAAAUCUCCCGGCUUAACCGGGAAAGGUCGGAGGGGACUGCCUGGCUAGAGGACGGGAGAGGAGCGCGGAAUUCCCGGUGUAGCGGUGAAAUGCGUAGAGAUCGGGAGGAAGGCCGGUGGCGAAGGCGGCGCUCUGGAACGUUCCUGACGCUGAGGCUCGAAAGCGUG
RNAcentral lists this ribosomal RNA (761 nucleotides) under uncultured bacterium. RNAcentral describes it as "bacterial SSU rRNA". It matches the Rfam family "Bacterial small subunit ribosomal RNA", at positions 8 to 763 of the family's 1533-position model. The record is from RNAcentral.